GACGAACGCUGGCGGCGUGCUUAACACAUGCAAGUCGAACGGAAAGGGCCUGCUUUUGUGGGGUGCUCGAGUGGCGAACGGGUGAGUAACACGUGAGUAACCUGGCCUUGACGUUGGGAUAACUUCAGGAAACUGGGGCUACUACCGGCUAGGAGCUCCUGCUGCAUGGUGGGCGUUGGAAAGUUUCGGCGGAUGGGGAUGGACUCGGGGCUUAUCAGCUUGUUGGGGGGGUAGUGGCUUACCAAGGCAUUGACGGGUAGCCGGCCUGAGAGGGUGACCGGCCACAUUGGGACUGAGAUACGGCCCAGACUCCUACGGGAGGCAGCAGUGGGGAAUAUUGCACAAUGGGCGGAAGCCUGAUGCAGCAACGCCGCGUGCGGGAUGACGGCCUUCGGGUUGUAAACCGCUUUCGCCUGUGACGAAGCGUGAGUGACGAUAAUGGGUAAAGAAGCACCGGCUAACUACGUG
This 468-nucleotide ribosomal RNA is filed under the name uncultured bacterium. RNAcentral describes it as "partial 16S ribosomal RNA". It matches the Rfam family "Bacterial small subunit ribosomal RNA", at positions 28 to 507 of the family's 1533-position model. The record is from RNAcentral.